RNAcentral lists this long non-coding RNA (1286 nucleotides) under Homo sapiens (human). Its description in RNAcentral is "HSALNT0282725". Lineage: Eukaryota; Metazoa; Chordata; Mammalia; Primates; Hominidae. The record is from RNAcentral.
GGGACCAGUUACCCCUUUCUUCUUGCUUAUUUCUCCCUUUUGGAAUGGGAAUGUCUAUCCUAUGCCUGUCCCACCAUUGUAUUUUGGAAGAAAGUAAUUUGCUAUUUUCAUAGGCUAACAUCUGGAGAGAAAUUUGCCUCAGGAUGAAUUGCACCUGGAGUCUCUCCUGUCUGAUUCAAAUGGGACUCUGGACUUUGGAAUUUUGAGUUGGUGCUGGAACGAGUCAAGACUUUGGGGCUAUUGGGAUGGAAUUAAUCUAUUUUAGACAUGAGAAGGACAUGGAUUUUGGGAGUCAAGGAAGAAUGCUACGGCUUGAAUGUGUCCUCCGAAGUUCAUGUGUUGGAAACCUAAUCCCCAAUGCAGCAGUACUGAGAAGUGAGACCUUUAAGAAGUGAUGAGAACCAUCAGGCAGCCUAGGGCCUGGAAGUGCUCCCCACCACCACUUCACUGUCCUUUAGCCCUACAGUGACUUCCUCCCCCUAGCUGGGAAUCGGCAACAUCUUCAGUGGGAUGUCUUGGAAUCCACGAUGGGGCUCAAGCUGUCUCACCCAGGAAAUGCAGGCUCUGCUACCAGACUGUGGACCUGGAACCCACUUGCAUCUGAAUCCCCUGGAGAACUUGUAAAGUGUAGAUACCCAAGCCUACCUCCCAGAAAUACUAAUCUAGGAGGUUUUCAGAUGGGGCUUCAAAACCUGCCUUUUGACAAGGCCCUCCGGUGGUCAUUUUUAUGCCCACAUGCUUUGGGGAGGGAGAAAAAUCCAUGGAAAAUUAGAAAAUGUUUUGGAGGCCGGGUGUAGUGGAUCAUACCUGUAAUCCCAGCACUUUCGGAGGCCAAGGCAGGAGGAUUGCUUGAGUUCAGGAGUUUGAGACCACCCGGGACAACAUAUUGAGACCCCGUCUUUAUAAAAAAUUUAAACCUUAUCUGGACAUGGUGGUGUGCGCCUGUAGUCCCAGUUACUUGGGAGGCUGAGGUGGGAGGAUCACUUGAGCCCAGGAUGCUGCAGUGAGCUGUGUUCUCACCACUGCACUCCAGCCUGGGCAACAGAGCAAGACUCUGUCUCGAAAAACAAACAAAAAAAGGCAAAACGGGCUGGGCACGGGCUCACGCCUGUAAUGCCAGAACUUUGUGAGGCCAAGGCAGGCAGAUUGCUUGAGCUCAGGAGUUUGAGAAAAGCCUGGCCAACAUGACAAAACCCUGUCUCUACUAAAAAUACAAAAAUUGGCAGAACGUGGUGGUGCGCACCUGUGGUCCCAGCUACUCCAGAGACUGAGGUAGGAGGAUUGCU